Molecule: non-coding RNA, 73 nt
Organism: Equus caballus (horse)
Lineage: Eukaryota; Metazoa; Chordata; Mammalia; Perissodactyla; Equidae
Source: Rfam
GGGGAAUUAGCUCAAGUGGUAGAGCACUCGCUUUGCAUGUGAGGGGUAGUGGGAUCGAUGCCCACAUUCUCCA